GACAGAGGGUGCAAACGUUGUCCGGAUUUACUGGGCGUAAAGAGCGCGCAGGCGGUCGUUCAAGUCGCGUGUGAAAGCCCCCGGCUCAACUGGGGAGGGUCACGCGAUACUGAUCGACUCGAAGGCAGGAGAGGGAAGUGGAAUUCCCGGUGUAGUGGUGAAAUGCGUAGAUAUCGUAAGGAAGACCAGUGGCGAAGGCGAGUCUCUGGACAGUUACCGACGCUGAGGCACGAAGGUCAGGGGAGCAAACGGG
This 253-nucleotide ribosomal RNA is filed under the name uncultured bacterium. RNAcentral describes it as "partial 16S ribosomal RNA". It matches the Rfam family "Bacterial small subunit ribosomal RNA", at positions 524 to 776 of the family's 1533-position model. The record is from RNAcentral.